GACGAGAUUCUUGUGAGAGUGAUGCCUGUGAUUGCAGCAUCCAGAAAAGCAAUCAUCUGGUGCAAUACAAUUACAAAGAGAAGUGGAGAAGCUCUGACCUCAGUGCUUAACUCAGAAACCUCCAGUCUGAGAGAACUGCAUCUGAUUGUAAAUACACUGAAUCUGUUUGGGAAUAAACUAGAAGACUCAGGAGUGAAGCGUCUCUCUGCUCUACUGGAGAAUCCUGAGUGUAAAGUGAAAGGUCUGAGGUUGUGUAAUUGUGGAGUAUCAGAUGAAGGCUGUGCUGCUCUCGCUUCAGCACUGAGAUCAAACCCCUCACACCUGAGAGACCUUGCUCUGUCUUGGAAUAAUGUAGGAGACUCAGGAGUGAAGUGUCUCUCUGCUGUACUGAAGAAUCCUCACUGUAAACUGGAGACACUGUGGUUGGAUGAUUGUGGAGUAUCAGAUGAAGGCUGUGCUGCGCUCGCUUCAGCUCUGAGAUCAAACCCCUCACACCUUAGAGAACUGGAUCUGUGUUGGAAUAAUGUAGGAGACUCAGGAGUAAAGUUUCUCUCUGCUGUACUGGAGAAUCCUCACAGUAAACUGGAGAAACUGUGAUUAACAACUGAAAAUACUGCCUGGAGCUGCAGAAUGAGAAGAGUGAUGUGAGUGUGAUGGUCAAUAACAUUUUAAUGGUGAUGAACAAUUGUGUGUGAAGACUCCAGGGUUCCUGCAUUUCCGUGUCUGCAAACCGAGAACACGUUUAUCUACAGGAUCUGAGGAGUUGAUGUGAAAAAGCCCAGAGCAGAAGGAGUUCUUAAGAGAGACCAUAAUAGAGAGGGGGUUCGGCUUCACUAGAAUGAAUAUGGAGAACAAUAACAAAUUCCAGUAUUUUAUUCAGCACUUUUUAACCGAAUGACAAUAAUGCAAAUGAUUUCCAAAUUUCUCAAUUUGGAAUAAUAAUCGUAUUGUUGUUAGUCACACACACACACACUUUCAUUUACAAUGUUAACAUAAGGAGCGAGUACAGCUUGUGACCAGGUUUUCAAGACCUCAGACUGUGAAACAGAUGCAGAGCUUCUUGGUUCUGAUGAACUACUGAGAGCAUGGCUCCCUGACUGCACACAGCAUGAUAAAGUUUUUAUGAGUGCUAUUGAUCACAAAG
This is an RNA transcript of Silurus meridionalis, 1144 nucleotides long. It is a transcript of the gene named ribonuclease inhibitor-like, with no coding region annotated. The transcript is spliced from 6 exons. NCBI's taxonomy places the organism in Eukaryota, Metazoa, Chordata, Actinopteri, Siluriformes, Siluridae. The record is from RefSeq and is a predicted model, not a curated record.